RNAcentral lists this non-coding RNA (209 nucleotides) under Arboricoccus pini. RNAcentral also lists the same sequence under 1 other name. The record is from RNAcentral. Lineage: Bacteria; Pseudomonadati; Pseudomonadota; Alphaproteobacteria; Geminicoccales; Geminicoccaceae.
CUAACCUGCCGGCGUCGUGGUUCUCGGCUGGUGUCCGUAUCGGUCGAGCUAAGAGGGAAUCCGGUGCGCCUUCGGGUCAGGCCGGAACUGCCCCCGCAACUGUGAGCGGCGAGCGGUCAUCCAAGAAGUGCCACUGGGCGUUUCCCGGGAAGGCUGGAUGAUCGCGUCGACCCGCAAGUCAGGAGACCUGCCACGUCGACAUACGUUCC